GCAGCGCUACUUCAACUUAAUCUGAGUGCAGUUCGCUCUUUUUUUCCCUUCGGUUUGUGUACUUUUGUUAGCCGUUGUUUGUGCGUCGACUUAUCUGGACCAAAAUCCACUCGAGUUUUAUGUGUUUUGGGCAUAAAGUUAGUGUGACGGCGUCCGGAGAAUGGGACCCGGACGUCGUCCUCGGUUGCCUUUACACACACUGUCAGCAAACACCAGGAGAACGCUCUUGUUGGUCGUGUCCUCACCCAGUGGAAACGCCUCAGGUUGGAACCCGGGUUGAGUGUGUGGGAGUCAGGACAAGGCGUCAAAGGUACACAGCGACGAUCCGUCUUCACCCUGCGAUGUUUAUGUUGUCCUGGUCCUGUGCCAAAGACGUGAUGGACACACACCCAUCUGUUAGCAGACAAUCAGACGCUGUGUUGCACACCAUAGGGCGGCUGAGGCCAAAGACCUGUCGUCCAGGCGCGGUUCAAACAUCUAGGAGGAACCACCUUCUCUAGCCUCAGAUUCACCAUAAACAACAACAACAACAACAACAACAACCACCACUUCUUCUUUAUUAAGUGUUGUUGAAGUCUAACCAAUAAUUAUACUAUCUACAUAAUCCAACUGCUGCGGUUUAUUCUGAGUUGUUGUGGAGGGAAAAGGAUAAACAUGCACCUUGGUCGGUUGGGUUUACGUAGUAUGUGUGUUGCUUUAACUGUCCUGUGGUAAAUGGUAAAUCAAUCACUUAUUAGUUUCUCCUUAUUAUUUAACCUCUUAUUUUGGAUCCUCCAUCAGCUUCUAUUUGAAUUUUGAGAGCCUUAAAAAUGCUGUUUAUGGUUUACGGUCACAAACCGCCAACCGUUUUUCAACUUUGGGUGAAUGAUGACAUCAUAACCUGUCAUUUUCUUGCAUGUUGGAGUUUGUACACAGCGUGCAAGCUUUACCUGUUAAUAUGCUAGCUCCUGUGGCAGCGUUACAGCGCCACAUACAGGUCGUUUAGGGAGGUUUCGCGUGUAUGAAAACGCAGACAUUUUAAAGAACGUUAAAAGUAAAAGAUCUUGUGAGAUCUUUUUAAUCUAAAAAAGGCCAUUUUUUAAAUAAGAACGCAAUUGUAUGGCUGUAACCCAAGUUGUUUAAAUAAAAAUCCGUCAUUAAAAAAGUCACUUAAUUUCCUCUUGAUGAAGAACGACAAUGAACUUCUAGACACCUGUGCCUCUUAAUUAUAGUGAAGUCCCUCGUCUGGGGCUCUCCGUCUCCGUCUCCGUCUCCUGGCCCGGUGAAGUGACCCUCGAUCACCUCGGGUUCUCAGAAUCUGGCAGAAUGUCAAAACUAUUCACUCGACCCUCUGGAAAGCACGUCUGCUUACCGUUAAGCCGUUUAGCUCCUAAUACCAACAACAAACACUCCUUCUGUGCCGGCGCCCGGGCACGGAGCACAGUGAGCCGUCUAUGAGAGAGGUCAGGACAACUCUUUAAGCGGACUCUGCCCAUCUGGCCCCGCUGGUCGGCUUCCUCAGCAGGAGACUAAGUGGGACACGGGGACACAGAUGCCCGACUGACACCGGACCACUCGCGGAGCCUCAGCUUCAGCAGUGAAGCACGUCCAGUGCGUCAGGACUACGCCUUUUUUCCGCGGUUGGUAAGAACCCGUGGAACCCGUGGCAGGAACAGGAUCGCCGCGGAGGACGUGACAAGCCGACCGCCCACAGCCUCGCGUGACAUCACCUUCAGAUUAAAAACAACGGCCACUGCACCUGAGGCUAAACAGACAAACUUAAUGUGUCACCUCCUCUGAGCUGAGGCCUGAUUCACGCCGCUCACGCACACGCACACGUCUCUACUUUUGAGUUUCAGCGUCUUACGUAAUGUUCAUGCGUCACACGUGCAGUUCCCAGCAAACAAAGAAAGAUGAUGUUGAAACGACACCAGGAUGAUUACAAACACUGCACACUGAGAUUAUAAUCAACAUAUAAUGUGAGAAAAGUUGAUGGUGUUUGCAUUUGAAAGUUAUGACAAUUUACAAAAGUGUUUCUUUUGUAAUAAUGUGUAAAAUGCACUCAUCUGUUUUCCUGCACAUUGUAUUUAUCUGUAAAUGUUUUAUUGAGUGACAAUAAAUAACACUAAAUAUCA
Molecule: long non-coding RNA, 2114 nt
Organism: Solea solea (common sole)
Lineage: Eukaryota; Metazoa; Chordata; Actinopteri; Pleuronectiformes; Soleidae
Exons: 2
Source: RefSeq, a predicted model, not a curated record